ACUUAUAUAUAUUUUCACAUAUAGACAUUUUAAAUAGGUAAAAAUAUACCGUGCUUAUUUGAAUUAAGAAUCAUUUUUAAUAAACUAUCCAAUCUUAUGAAAUGUUGAUUUUACUAUCAACUUUUAAUAUGUUUGACUUAAGUCAGUCAACAGCAUUUUAAUUUCAAAAUUUAAAAUAAUUGUUUAAACUAAUAAAUUUAUAGUUGUAAGAAUUGCAUGAACCAUACUAACUAAACUAAUAAAACAAAUGACUCAUUCAAAAUUUGAAGUUAAAAUACCAUUGAUUGACUCAAAUCAAACAAAUUAAAAAGUUGGACAGUGAAAUCAAAAUUUUAAAAGGUCGAACAGUUGAUUCAAAAUAGUUCAAAGUUUAGAUAGGUUGAUACACAUAUUUUUUGCCUAGGCGGUGUACAAGAUCUAAUCAUACAACCGGUGCACCCAAUAAUUUCUCUACUUUUGUGGGGCCCAAAAUCUAAAUAAAUCUAGGGUAAACUACCCACGUGGUUUCACAGUUUUCUCUCGUUAGCAUCCGGUGGUUUAAAAUAUAUCAAAUUAACCCCUGUAGUUUCGCACUUUCUCACUUUAGUAUCUUGUGAUUUAAAGUGUAUCAAGUUAGUACCAUGUGGUUUUAUUUUUUUUUUUUUAUUAUCUAUUUUACUAAUUUUCUUCAUAAAAUCAGUGACAAAGUUAAAAUUAAAGGAUACUAAAGUGAAUAUUUAACAAAGUAUAAUUUAAGGGUAUCUGAAGUUUUUUUGUAUCUAAUUUAACGAAAUAUUAACGGAGGAAAAAAGAAAUCAGUAACAAAGUUAAAACUAAAGGGUACUAAAGUAAGUAUUUAACAAACCUAAGUAGGAUAUCUAAAAUUUUUUGUAUAUAAUUUAAUAAAAUAUUAACAGAAGAGCCGACGAAAAGAGAAAAUUAAAAUCACAGAGUACUAAAUUGAUACACUUUAAACCACAUGGUAGUAAAGUGAGAAAGUGCUAAAUCAUACAGUACUAAAUUGAUACACGUUAAAUUAAAGAGUACUAAAGUGAAAAAGUGUGAAACUGUCGUGGUAUUUGAUGUUUUUC
This 1070-nucleotide long non-coding RNA is filed under the name Ananas comosus (pineapple). Its description in RNAcentral is "long non-coding RNA (ACOM_LNC015537)". Lineage: Eukaryota; Viridiplantae; Streptophyta; Magnoliopsida; Poales; Bromeliaceae. The record is from RNAcentral.